This is a long non-coding RNA of Lepus europaeus (European hare), 1809 nucleotides long. RefSeq lists it as uncharacterized. The transcript has 3 exons. Lineage: Eukaryota; Metazoa; Chordata; Mammalia; Lagomorpha; Leporidae. The record is from RefSeq and is a predicted model, not a curated record.
GCGGUCUGGCGAGGCCCCGAGCGUCCCCGGCGCCGCCGACGGCCACGAAGCGCACUCGAGGGGGGUCGAGGAGCCCACCUCCGCCCGUGCAGUCGCUGUGUGCAGGUGUGCUCCACAGGACAGCGAGGCUGUGACAGGAGGCUGCAGCAGGAGAUGUGCCCUCCUCCCUGGCAUGGACCUGCUCGGGGACAUGCGCUGUGGCAGCCAGCCAGGACCUCACUGCAUCACCACUCCAGUACCUGGCAGCGAGCCCCGACCCGCCAGGUGCGAAACCACCAGUGAACCCUCGCCAGCUCUGCCGUGGGCCUCUCGCAGCCAUCCCAGGAGGUCCCUCAGGACUGGGUCGACAGGACAUGGCAGCACAUAGCAACCGCAUAAGACACAGUCCCGCGGCUCCCCCAGGUUCCUCCCACAGGACAGGACCACUGCCGUCACGAACAGGAUCACCCCCAGGCUCCAUAAUGUCAGCCUCGAAAGCAUCGGAGCCCUCUUGCCAGAACACUUCUAGGGCACAGUACUGUGGGGUUCUGUGAAACCUCCUCACCAGUUUUCCCUCAGGCAGUCAGCAGCUGAGGCCAAGGUCAGCCAAUUUGAUGUUCAAAUGGGAACCCAACAAUGGCUUGUUCAGGUCCUUACGCGCCUCGCGGUUCGCAUGGCAGGAGUCUUCAGCCGACGGGUCUGGCUAAACAGGGACUUGGCUUCAUCCUCCUGUGGGCGCCCUGCCCCAUCAUGCAAUUCCAGAGAUCACCCCUGCAUGUGGGCUCCAGUACCAGGAACACGUGCUUGGUUGUGUGCCUCACCCUCAGGAGACUCUACAGCACGGCCACUUCUCUCUUCAGCUGCCACGAACGGGAGGGCUUGCUGUGAUUUCCCAGGAGCAAUGUCCCAGCCACAGGCUUCCCAGUCACCACACGGGGAGCAUCACGGGGAGCUACCCUGGCCAACGAGGGCAGGACGUGGUACCCGUCCUGAGCGUUACAUGAUGGAAAGCCUCAGGGCCUUCCCCCCUGGCAUCCACCUAACCACUCUCUCUAAACCACUCUCUCUGAACUACUCUCUCAACGAUGCUAGUUAAUCAACUACCCUACUAGGAUACCUAUAGAACAAACAGAUACCAAGGGUACUGACUGCCAGUGUGGCUCUCUGCAGUACUAGUUAUCCCAUAUACACUAACAAUACUAAGCAGCAGGACUAAGUGCUACCUAAAUAAAACGGGAAACUGCAAAGAAAAAAACCCACUCCAUAACUACACUAAUACUGAGAAAUCUAACAGUGCUGUUUAACUAAACAUGAAGGGGAAGGGGAAAAAACCUGCCCAAAAUGGGCAAAAAAAAAGUAGGUAGAAAAAAAAAUGGGAAAAAGAAUAAACAAAAUAGACCAGAAACAAACAAUACCAACGAGCUUAAACACUAGGUUAGAUGGAUCCAAGACACACAGGUCACAAAAAAUGGCUCCUUGGGUAAUAGACCAGAAACAAUACCAACGAGCAUAAACACUAGAUCAGAUGGGUCCAAGACACACAGGUCACCAAAAACAGCUCCUUGGGUAAGACAAAAAAGUUGGACUGAGUCUAUGCAGCUUAUGUAGGCUUGUGGAAUGACAUAACGGUAGUGGCUCCCUAUGAAGUCGGAGCAAGACACGGACUAACAGCCCUGGCAGGGACUUGCAUGCAUCUGUAAUUCCUAACAGUGGGUUCUUAGGAAGUCAGCACAAGAAAUGCUCAGAUCACAGCAGCAGAUAAUCCACAGGGGUUUUCUCAAGAACCUUCCACUUAAAUAAAAAUGGAGCAAAGGUUUUUACUUAGAUUGU